This 497-nucleotide ribosomal RNA is filed under the name uncultured bacterium. Its description in RNAcentral is "partial 16S ribosomal RNA". It matches the Rfam family "Bacterial small subunit ribosomal RNA", at positions 28 to 507 of the family's 1533-position model. The record is from RNAcentral.
GAUGAACGCUGGCGGCGUGCCUAAUACAUGCAAGUCGAGCGAACAGACGAGGAGCUUGCUCCUCUGACGUUAGCGGCGGACGGGUGAGUAACACGUGGAUAACCUACCUAUAAGACUGGGAUAACUUCGGGAAACCGGAGCUAAUACCGGAUAAUAUAUUGAACCGCAUGGUUCAAUAGUGAAAGACGGUUUUGCUGUCACUUAUAGAUGGAUCCGCGCCGCAUUAGCUAGUUGGUAAGGUAACGGCUUACCAAGGCAACGAUGCGUAGCCGACCUGAGAGGGUGAUCGGCCACACUGGAACUGAGACACGGUCCAGACUCCUACGGGAGGCAGCAGUAGGGAAUCUUCCGCAAUGGGCGAAAGCUUGACGGAGCAACGCCGCGUGAGUGAUGAAGGUCUUCGGAUCGUAAAACUCUGUUAUUAGGGAAGAACAAAUGUGUAAGUAACUAUGCACGUCUUGACGGUACCUAAUCAGAAAGCCACGGCCAACUACGUG